CCUAGUAACGGCGAGUGAAGCGGCAACAGCUCAAAUUUGAAAUCUGGCUUCGGCCCGAGUUGUAAUUUGCAGAGGAAGCUUUAGGCGCGGCACCUUCUGAGUCCCCUGGAACGGGGCGCCAUAGAGGGUGAGAGCCCCGUAUAGUUGGAUGCCUAGCCUGUGUAAAGCUCCUUCGACGAGUCGAGUAGUUUGGGAAUGCUGCUCAAAAUGGGAGGUAAAUUUCUUCUAAAGCUAAAUACCGGCCAGAGACCGAUAGCGCACAAGUAGAGUGAUCGAAAGAUGAAAAGCACUUUGAAAAGAGGGUUAAAUAGCACGUGAAAUUGUUGAAAGGGAAGCGCUUGUGACCAGACUUGCGCCGGGCAGAUCAUCCGGUGUUCUCACCGGUGCACUCUGCCCGGCUCAGGCCAGCAUCGGUUCUCGCGGGGGGAUAAAGGCCCUGGGAACGUAGCUCCUCCGGGAGUGUUAUAGCCCGGGGCGUAAUGCCCUCGCGGGGACCGAGGUUCGCGCAUCUGCAAGGAUGCUGGCGUAAUGGUCAUCAGCGACCCGUCUUGAAACACGGACCAAGGAGUCAAGGUUUUGCGCGAGUGUUUGGGUGUAAAACCCGCACGCGUAAUGAAAGUGAACGUAGGUGAGAGCUUCGGCGCAUCAUCGACCGAUCCUGAUGUUUUCGGAUGGAUUUGAGUAGGAGCGUUAAGCCUUGGACCCGAAAGAUGGUGAACUAUGCUUGGAUAGGGUGAAGCCAGAGGAAACUCUGGUGGAGGCUCGCAGCGGUUCUGACGUGCAAAUCGAUCGUCAAAUCUGAGCAUGGGGGCGAAGACUAAUCGA
RNAcentral lists this ribosomal RNA (825 nucleotides) under Chaetomium elatum. RNAcentral's name for it is "LSU rRNA". It matches the Rfam family "Eukaryotic large subunit ribosomal RNA", at positions 79 to 938 of the family's 3401-position model. The record is from RNAcentral. Lineage: Eukaryota; Fungi; Ascomycota; Sordariomycetes; Sordariales; Chaetomiaceae.